AUUGGACGCUGGCGGCAUGCCUUACACAUGCAAGUCGAACGGUAACAGGUCUUCGGAUGCUGACGAGUGGCGAACGGGUGAGUAAUGCAUCGGAACGUGCCCAGUAGUGGGGGAUAGCCCGGCGAAAGCCGGAUUAAUACCGCAUACGACCUGAGGGUGAAAGGGGGGGAUCGCAAGACCUCUCGCUAUUGGAGCGGCCGAUGUCAGAUUAGCUAGUUGGUGGGGUAAAGGCCUACCAAGGCAACGAUCUGUAGUUGGUCUGAGAGGACGACCAGCCACACUGGGACUGAGACACGGCCCAGACUCCUACGGGAGGCAGCAGUGGGGAAUUUUGGACAAUGGGCGCAAGCCUGAUCCAGCAAUGCCGCGUGCAGGAAGAAGGCCUUCGGGUUGUAAACUGCUUUUGUCAGGGAAGAAAUCCUCUAGGUUAAUACCCUUGGGGGGAUGACGGUACCUGAAGAAUAAGCACCGGCUAACUACGUGCCAGCCGCCGCCGUAA
This 499-nucleotide ribosomal RNA is filed under the name uncultured bacterium. Its description in RNAcentral is "partial 16S ribosomal RNA". It matches the Rfam family "Bacterial small subunit ribosomal RNA", at positions 30 to 523 of the family's 1533-position model. The record is from RNAcentral.